This 73-nucleotide transfer RNA is filed under the name Streptococcus agalactiae. RNAcentral's name for it is "tRNA-Asp". It matches the Rfam family "tRNA". Rfam says of the family: Transfer RNA (tRNA) molecules are approximately 80 nucleotides in length. Their secondary structure includes four short double-helical elements and three loops (D, anti-codon, and T loops). The record is from RNAcentral. Lineage: Bacteria; Bacillati; Bacillota; Bacilli; Lactobacillales; Streptococcaceae. RNAcentral also lists the same sequence under 1 other name.
GAUCCCGUAGUGUAGCGGUUAUCACGUCGCCCUGUCACGGCGAAGAUCGCGGGUUCGAUUCCCGUCGGGACCG